This 742-nucleotide ribosomal RNA is filed under the name uncultured bacterium. Its description in RNAcentral is "bacterial SSU rRNA". It matches the Rfam family "Bacterial small subunit ribosomal RNA", at positions 8 to 796 of the family's 1533-position model. The record is from RNAcentral.
AGAGUUUGAUCCUGGCUCAGAUUGAACGCUGGCGGCAUGGCUAAAACAUGCAAGUCGAACGAACCCGCAAGGGUUAGUGGCGGAAGGGUGAGUAAAAGUAUCGAAUGUACCCCGAGGUGGGGGAUAGGCACGGGAAACUGUGCGUAAUACCUCAUGAUCUCGAAAGAGCAAAGCUACGGCGCCUUGGGAGCAGCGAUAUACCUAUCAGGUAGUUGGCGGGGUAAUAGCCCACCAAGCCGAAGACGGGUAGCGGGUGUGAGAGCACGGCCCGCCACAUCGGGACUGAGACACUGCCCGGACUCCUACGGGAGGCUGCAGUAACGAAUAUUCCGCAAUGCGCGAAAGCGUGACGGAGCAAUGCCGCGUGCAGGAUGAAGCAGCUUCGCUGUGUAAACUGCUGUCAGGGGCUACUAACUAUGAAGAGCCCCAGAGGAAGGACCGGCUAAUCUCGUGCCAGCAGCCGCGGUAAUACGAGAGGUCCAAGCGUUAGUCGGAAUUACUGGGCUUAAAGGGUGCGUAGGCGGGCUUGUAAGUGUUUUGUGAAAUCCCAUGGCUCAACCAUGGAAUCGCAGGGCAUACUGCAAGCCUCGAGGAAGCUAGAGGCCGGUGGAACGAUAGGUGGAGCGGUGGAAUGCGUAGAUAUCUAUCGGAACGCCAAAGGUGAAGACAGCCGGCUGGGGCUUUCCUGACGCUGAGGCACGAAAGCGUGGGGAUCAAACAGGAUUAGAUACCCCAGUAGUCC